Molecule: unclassified non-coding RNA, 395 nt
Filed under: soil metagenome
Description: partial contains 5.8S ribosomal RNA, internal transcribed spacer 2, and large subunit ribosomal RNA
Rfam family: 5.8S ribosomal RNA (bases 1-122)
Source: RNAcentral
GAUGAAGAACGUAGCGAAAUGCGAUACUUGGUGUGAAUUGCAGAAUCCCGUGAACCAUCGAGUCUUUGAACGCAAGUUGCGCCCGAAGCCAUCAGGUUGAGGGCACGUCUGCCUGGGCGUCACAUAUCGUUGCCCAAUGCCUAUUGUAGUGCAAUAGGAAUUUCUAGGGCGAAUGAUGGCUUCCCGUGAGCGUUGUUGCCUCGCGGUUGGUUGAAAAUCGAGUCCUUGGUAGGGUGUGCCAUGGUAGAUGGUGGUCGAGUUAGAACGAUACCGAUCAUGUGCAUGCUCCCCAAAAUAUGGCCUCUAUGACCCACACGCGUCUUUUGACGCUCAUGACGAGACCUCAGGUCAGGCGGGGCUACCCGCUGAAUUUAAGCAUAUCAAUAAGCGGAGGA